RNAcentral lists this ribosomal RNA (497 nucleotides) under uncultured bacterium. RNAcentral describes it as "partial 16S ribosomal RNA". It matches the Rfam family "Bacterial small subunit ribosomal RNA", at positions 28 to 507 of the family's 1533-position model. The record is from RNAcentral.
GAUGAACGCUGGCGGCGUGCCUAAUACAUGCAAGUCGAGCGAACGGACGAGAAGCUUUCUUCUCUGAUGUUAGCGGCGGACGGGUGAGUAACACGUGGAUAACCUACCUAUAAGACUGGGAUAACUUCGGGAAACCGGAGCUAAUACCGGAUAAUAUUUUGAACCGCAUGGUUCAAAAGUGAAAGACGGUCUUGCUGUCACUUAUAGAUGGAUCCGCGCUGCAUUAGCUAGUUGGUAAGGUAACGGCUUACCAAGGCAACGAUGCAUAGCCGACUUGAGAGGGUGAUCGGCCACACUGGAACUGAGACACGGUCCAGACUCCUACGGGAGGCAGCAGUAGGGAAUCUUCCGCAAUGGGCGAAAGCCUGACGGAGCAACGCCGCGUGAGUGAUGAAGGUCUUCGGAUCGUAAAACUCUGUUAUUAGGGAAGAACAUAUGUGUAAGUAACUGUGCACAUCUUGACGGUACCUAAUCAGAAAGCCACGGCUAACUACGCG